GACGAACGCUGGCGGCGUGCUUAAUACAUGCAAGUCGAGCGAGGCCCAUCCAGUGGCAACACUGGGGAAGGCCGAGCGGCGAACGGGUGAGUAACACGUGAGCAACCUGCCCCGAAGUCUGGAAUAACAUCGGGAAACCGGGUAGCUAAUACCGGAUUGCCCCACCCUGACCGCAUGAUCGGGUGAGGAAAGAUUUAUCGCUUCGGGAGGGGCUCGCGGCCUAUCAGCUUGUUGGGGGGGUGA
This 243-nucleotide ribosomal RNA is filed under the name uncultured bacterium. RNAcentral's name for it is "partial 16S ribosomal RNA". It matches the Rfam family "Bacterial small subunit ribosomal RNA", at positions 28 to 260 of the family's 1533-position model. The record is from RNAcentral.